GAUGAAGAACGUAGCGAAAUGCGAUAAGUAGUGUGAAUUGCAGAAUUCAGUGAAUCAUCGAAUCUUUGAACGCACAUUGCGCCCCUUGGUAUUCCAUGGGGCAUGCCUGUUCGAGCGUCAUUUGUACCUUCAAGCUCUGCUUGGUGUUGGGUGUUUGUCUCGCCUCUGCGUGUAGACUCGCCUCAAAACAAUUGUCAGCCGGCGUAUUGAUUUCGGAGCGCAGUACAUCUCGCGCUUUGCACUCAUAACGACGACGUCCAAAAGUACAUUUUUACACUCUUGACCUCGGAUCAGGUAGGGAUACCCGCUGAACUUAAGCAUAUCAAUAAGCGGAGGA
Molecule: unclassified non-coding RNA, 337 nt
Filed under: soil metagenome
Description: partial contains 5.8S ribosomal RNA, internal transcribed spacer 2, and large subunit ribosomal RNA
Rfam family: 5.8S ribosomal RNA (bases 1-120)
Source: RNAcentral